CAAUAACAGGCUCUCAUUUUUGAGGAAGUAUCAAACAAAUUAAAAGGGGUGGACAUAGUCAAGAUGGCGACUUAGAAGUGGCAAAAGUCAAUUCCUCUGUGAAAACUCUUCUACACCAAUCAAAAACAAAGCACUUCCAGGGGGACAGAAAACCAAAUCCAACAAGAAGACAGAACUGAGGGAUCUUACUCCUCAAUUCAACUUAAAAGCUUUGCAGAUCACCUCAACUGGCUUGAUCUAGUUUAUCAAUUGUGCUGAGAAGAAGCCUCCAGAAGGCAGAGGAGCUCAGGCUCACUUAGCUAGCAGAAAACUAGAGGAGCAAGGGUGCAGAGUGGACAGAGAGCUAGGCUCAGCAGUGGGACCACAGUCUCUCCUGUUCAAUCAAACCUGAAAGGCUUCUCAGGAGUCUUAUGGUUGAAUGACAAAUUUUCUAUUCUGCUCUGGUCUUUUCAUCAAGAAUGUUUGAAAAUACUCCAUUUUAUUAAAUGUCUAUUUUCCCCCUUGAAAGAUCUACUCAGUUUUUCUAGAUCUCUUUUUCAAAAGGAAUGGAAAUGGUGUACCUCCAGGAUCCCAUUUAGGAAUGAAUAUAUGAGUGAGUCUAUAACUUCAAGCUAAAUCAGAGAUGCCAGUAUCUUCUGGGGGAGGAUUUCUUCUUCUUACUUCACAUAAUGGAAAA
RNAcentral lists this long non-coding RNA (676 nucleotides) under Monodelphis domestica (gray short-tailed opossum). Its description in RNAcentral is "lncRNA (ENSMODG00000032180.2)". The record is from RNAcentral. Lineage: Eukaryota; Metazoa; Chordata; Mammalia; Didelphimorphia; Didelphidae.